RNAcentral lists this ribosomal RNA (473 nucleotides) under uncultured bacterium. RNAcentral describes it as "bacterial SSU rRNA". It matches the Rfam family "Bacterial small subunit ribosomal RNA", at positions 355 to 825 of the family's 1533-position model. The record is from RNAcentral.
UCGGGAAUAUUGCGCAAUGGGCGAAAGCCUGACGCAGCAACGCCGCGUGAGUGAUGAAGGCCUUCGGGUCGUAAAGCUCUGUCGGAGGGAACGAAUGCUCCUGAAGUUAACAGCCUCAGGAGGUGACGGUACCCUCAAAGGAAGCACCGGCUAACUCUGUGCCAGCAGCCGCGGUAAUACGAAGGGGGCUAGCGUUGUUCGGAAUUGCUGGGCGUAAAGCGCACGUAGGCGGACUGAUAAGUCAGGGGUGAAAUCCCGGGGCUCAACCUCGGAACUGCCUUUGAUACUGUUAGUCUCGAGUCCGGAAGAGGUGAGUGGAAUUCCUAGUGUAGAGGUGAAAUUCGUAGAUAUUAGGAAGAACACCAGUGGCGAAGGCGGCUCACUGGUCCGGUACUGACGCUGAGGUGCGAAAGCGUGGGGAGCAAACAGGAUUAGAUACCCACGUAGUCCCUGAGCGGGCUGGCAAGGCGCAU